RNAcentral lists this ribosomal RNA (253 nucleotides) under uncultured bacterium. RNAcentral describes it as "partial 16S ribosomal RNA". It matches the Rfam family "Bacterial small subunit ribosomal RNA", at positions 524 to 776 of the family's 1533-position model. The record is from RNAcentral.
UACGUAGGGGGCAAGCGUUGUCCGGAAUCAUUGGGCGUAAAGCGCGUGUAGGCGGCUCGAUAAGUCUGCUGUGAAAGUCCAGGGCUCAACUCUGGGAUGCCGGUGGAUACUGUCGAGCUCGAGUCCGGAAGAGGCGAGUGGAAUUCCUGGUGUAGCGGUGAAAUGCGCAGAUAUCAGGAGGAACACCAAUGGCGAAGGCAGCUCGCUGGGACGUGACUGACGCUGAGACGCGAAAGCGUGGGGAGCAAACAGG